GAUGAACGCUGGCGGCGUGCCUAAUACAUACAAGUCGAGCGAACAGACGAGGAGCUUGCUCCUCUGACGUUAGCGGCGGACGGGUGAGUAACACGUGGAUAACCUACCUAUAAGACUGGGAUAACUUCGGGAAACCGGAGCUAAUACCGGAUAAUAUAUUGAACCGCAUGGUUCAAUAGUGAAAGACGGUUUUGCUGUCACUUAUAGAUGGAUCCGCGCCGCAUUAGCUAGUUGGUAAGGUAACGGCUUACCAAGGCAACGAUGCGUAGCCGACCUGAGAGGGUGAUCGGCCACACUGGAACUGAGACACGGUCCAGACUCCUACGGGAGGCAGCAGUAGGGAAUCUUCCGCAAUGGGCGAAAGCUUGACGGAGCAACGCCGCGUGAGUGAUGAAGGUCUUCGGAUCGUAAAACUCUGUUAUUAGGGAAGAACAAAUGUGUAAGUAACUAUGCACGUCUUGACGGUACCUAAUCAGAAGGCCACGGCUAACUACG
This 495-nucleotide ribosomal RNA is filed under the name uncultured bacterium. Its description in RNAcentral is "partial 16S ribosomal RNA". It matches the Rfam family "Bacterial small subunit ribosomal RNA", at positions 28 to 505 of the family's 1533-position model. The record is from RNAcentral.